UGAACUUAGAUGGGAUUACCCGCUGA
Molecule: ribosomal RNA, 26 nt
Filed under: Rhizomucor pusillus
Lineage: Eukaryota; Fungi; Mucoromycota; Mucoromycetes; Mucorales; Lichtheimiaceae
Description: partial 28S ribosomal RNA
Source: RNAcentral